CCUACGGGAGGCAGCAGUGGGGAAUCUUGCGCAAUGGGCGAAAGCCUGACGCAGCCAUGCCGCGUGAAUGAUGAAGGUCUUAGGAUUGUAAAAUUCUUUCACCGGGGACGAUAAUGACGGUACCCGGAGAAGAAGCCCCGGCUAACUUCGUGCCAGCAGCCGCGGUAAUACGAAGGGGGCUAGCGUUGCUCGGAAUUACUGGGCGUAAAGGGAGCGUAGGCGGAUAGUUUAGUCAGAGGUGAAAGCCCAGGGCUCAACCUUGGAAUUGCCUUUGAUACUGGCUAUCUUGAGUAUGGGAGAGGUUAGCGGAACUCCGAGUGUAGAGGUGAAAUUCGUAGAUAUUCGGAAGAACACCAGUGGCGAAGGCGGCUAACUGGCCCAUUACUGACGCUGAGGCCCGAAAGCGUGGGGAGCAAACAGGAUUAGAUACCCUGGUAGUCCACGCCGUAAACGAUGAGUGCUAGUUGUCGGCAUGCAUGCAUGUCGGUGGACGCAGCUACGACAUUAAGUACACCUCCGUCCGUCGGGGUAGGUACGGUCGGCGAAGAAGUUAAAACGUUAACGUAAAGGUAAAGUUAGUUACGGCGUGAGACGUGCCGACGGACGACGACGAGGGAGGAGG
Molecule: ribosomal RNA, 622 nt
Filed under: uncultured bacterium
Lineage: Bacteria
Description: bacterial SSU rRNA
Rfam family: Bacterial small subunit ribosomal RNA (bases 1-518)
Source: RNAcentral